This 85-nucleotide transfer RNA is filed under the name Gemmatimonadota bacterium. RNAcentral's name for it is "tRNA-Leu". It matches the Rfam family "tRNA". From Rfam's summary of the family: Transfer RNA (tRNA) molecules are approximately 80 nucleotides in length. The record is from RNAcentral. Lineage: Bacteria; Pseudomonadati; Gemmatimonadota.
GCCCGAGUGGCGGAAUGGCAGACGCAGCGGACUCAAAAUCCGCCGGGGGGCAACCCCCGUGCGAGUUCGACUCUCGCCUCGGGCA